RNAcentral lists this ribosomal RNA (239 nucleotides) under uncultured Lactobacillus sp. RNAcentral describes it as "partial 16S ribosomal RNA". It matches the Rfam family "Bacterial small subunit ribosomal RNA", at positions 125 to 354 of the family's 1533-position model. The record is from RNAcentral. Lineage: Bacteria; Bacillati; Bacillota; Bacilli; Lactobacillales; Lactobacillaceae.
CCGUAGCCCAAGAGAUCGGGAUAACACCUGGAAACAGAUGCUAAUACCGGAUAACAACAGAUGAUGCCUAUCAACUGUUUAAAAGAUGGUUCUGCUAUCACUCUUGGAUGGACCUGCGGUGCAUCAGCUAGUUGGUAGGGUAACGGCCUACCAAGGCGAUGAUGCAUAGCCGAGUUGAGAGACUGAUCGGCCACAUUGGGACUGAGACACGGCCCAAACUCCUACGGGAGGCAGCAGGG